This 252-nucleotide ribosomal RNA is filed under the name uncultured microorganism. Its description in RNAcentral is "partial 16S ribosomal RNA". It matches the Rfam family "Bacterial small subunit ribosomal RNA", at positions 524 to 776 of the family's 1533-position model. The record is from RNAcentral.
UACGGAGGGGGCAAGCGUUGUUCGGAGUUACUGGGCGUAAAGCGAGCGCAGGUGGUUUAAUAAGUCUGAUGUAAAAGGCAGUGGCUCAACCAUUGUGUGCAUUGGAAACUGUUAGACUUGAGUGCAGUAGAGGAGAGUGGAAUUCCAUGUGUAGCGGUGAAAUGCGUAGAUAUAUGGAGGAACACCGGUGGCGAAAGCGGCUCUCUGGACUGUAACUGACACUGAGGCUCGAAAGCGUGGGUAGCAAACAGG